Molecule: ribosomal RNA, 764 nt
Filed under: uncultured Actinomyces sp.
Lineage: Bacteria; Bacillati; Actinomycetota; Actinomycetes; Actinomycetales; Actinomycetaceae
Description: bacterial SSU rRNA
Rfam family: Bacterial small subunit ribosomal RNA
Source: RNAcentral
GACGAACGCUGGCGGCGUGCUUAACACAUGCAAGUCGAACGGGCCCGCCCCUUUGGGGGUGGGUUGAGUGGCGAACGGGUGAGUAUCACGUGAGUAACCUGCCCCCUGCUCCUGGAUAACUGCUUGAAAGGGCGGCUAAUACGGGGUGUGCCGGCUAGUCCGCAUGGGCCUGGUCGGGAUAGUUUCAUCUUCGGGUGUUUCGGUGGGGGAUGGGCUCGCGGCCUAUCAGCUUGUUGGUGGGGUGAUGGCCCACCAAGGCGGUGACGGGUAGCCGGCCUGAGAGGGUGGGCGGCCACACUGGGACUGAGACACGGCCCAGACUCCUGCGGGAGGCAGCAGUGGGGGGUAUUGCACAAUGGGCGGAAGCCUGAUGCAGCGACGUCGCGUGAGGGAUGGAGGCCUUCGGGUUGUGAACCUCUUUCUCCGGUGGUGAAGGCCCUGUCCGUUGCGGCGGGGUUGACGGUAGCCGGGUAUGAAGCGCCGGCUAACUACGUGCCAGCAGCCGCGGUAAUACGUAGGGCGCGAGCGUUGUCCGGAAUUAUUGGGCGUGAAGGGCUUGUAGGCGGCCGGUCGCGUCCGCCGCGAAAUUCUCCGGCUCAACCGGGGGCUUGCGGUGGGUACGGGCCGGCUGGAGUGCGGUAGGGGAGGCUGGAACUCCUGGUGUAGCGGUGGAAUGCGCAGAUAUCAGGAGGAACACCGGUGGCGAAGGCGGGUCUCUGGGCCGUUACUGACGCUGAGGAGCGAAAGCGUGGGGAGCGAACAGG